Molecule: ribosomal RNA, 253 nt
Filed under: uncultured Bacteroides sp.
Lineage: Bacteria; Pseudomonadati; Bacteroidota; Bacteroidia; Bacteroidales; Bacteroidaceae
Description: partial 16S ribosomal RNA
Rfam family: Bacterial small subunit ribosomal RNA
Source: RNAcentral
UACGGAGGAUCCGAGCGUUAUCCGGAUUUAUUGGGUUUAAAGGGAGCGUAGGUGGAUUGUUAAGUCAGUUGUGAAAGUUUGCGGCUCAACCGUAAAAUUGCAGUUGAAACUGGCAGUCUUGAGUACAGUAGAGGUGGGCGGAAUUCGUGGUGUAGCGGUGAAAUGCAUAGAUAUCACGCAGAACUCCGAUCGCGAAGGCAGCCUACCGGCGCGCUACUGACGCUCAUGCACGAAAGCGUGGGUAUCGAACAGG